Molecule: long non-coding RNA, 295 nt
Filed under: Panax ginseng (ginseng)
Lineage: Eukaryota; Viridiplantae; Streptophyta; Magnoliopsida; Apiales; Araliaceae
Description: long non-coding RNA (PGIN_LNC001187)
Source: RNAcentral
AACGAAAUUGUUGAGCUUUAUAGUCCCAUUAUCAAGCCCCACGUUUACCCAUAUCAAAUCAGAAACAACAAAAUCAGAAAAUCAAAGAUUGGAUCAAAGAAAGGUAUGAAAUCCCUAAUUCUAAAAAUCCUUCGAUUUGUUGUUAAAUGUUGCAAUUGAUCGUUGAAAGUUGUGUAAUAGGGUGUCAAUUGAUGUUCUGGGUUGUUAAAUCCAUGACCCAUAACAUCAAUGUUCAUGAUUUUGAAUUUUUAGCAAAUCUGGAAAUUCGAAAAUUUUCGUUUUACAGCCAAAUGUC